RNAcentral lists this ribosomal RNA (1202 nucleotides) under uncultured bacterium. RNAcentral describes it as "partial 16S ribosomal RNA". It matches the Rfam family "Bacterial small subunit ribosomal RNA", at positions 8 to 1219 of the family's 1533-position model. The record is from RNAcentral.
AGGGUUUGAUCCUGGCUCAGAACGAACGCUGGCGGCGUGGCUAAGACAUGCAAGUCAAACGGUCCGGCACUUAUUUGUUUACAAAUUCGUGCUGGAUAGUGGCGUAAGGGUGAGUAAUGGAUAGGUAACGUACCCUGGGCUUCGGGAUAGCGCCGUUCGCCUUCGGGCGAACUUCCGAAAGGGGCGGUAAUACCGAAUAAUAUCAUUGGUCGAUAGACCAAUGAUUAAAGAUUUAUCGGCACAGGAGCGGCCUAUCUCCUAUCAGCUUGUUGGUGAGGUAAUGGCUCACCAAGGCUAUGACUGGUAGCGGGACUGAGAGGUUGGCCCGCCACAUCGGGACUGAGACACUGCCCGGACCUCCACGGAGGGCUGCAGUAACGAAUCUUGCGCAAUGGGCCAAAGCCUGACGCAGCGACGCCGCGUGCGGGAUGAAGUCUUUCGGGAUGUAAACCGCUGUCAGGGGUAAGAAAGUUCACUUCGGUGGAUUGAUCUAACCCAGAGGAAGUCACGGCUAACUUCGUGCCAGCAGCCGCGGUAAGACGAAGGUGGCAAGCGUUGUUCGGUAUUACUGGGCUUAAAGAGUGUGUAGGCGGAAAGGUAAGCGUCGUGUGAAAGUCCCCGGCUUAACCGGGGAAUUGCUCGACGAACUACUUUUCUUGAGGCAAGUAGGGGUGCACGGAACUCUUGGUGGAGCGGUGGAAUGCGUAGAUAUCAAGAGGAACGCCAGUGGUGAAAACGGUGCACUGGGCUUGUUCUGACGCUGAGACACGAAAGCGUGGGGAGCGAACGGGAUUAGAUACCCCGGUAGUCCACGCCGUAAACGAUGUCUACUAGUUGUGGAAGUUCUGACACUUGCACUGCCGAAGCAAAAGUGUUAAGUAGACCGCCUGGGGAGUACGGCGCAAGGCUAAAACUCAAAGGAAUUGACGGGGGCUCACACAAGCGGUGGAGCAUGUGGAUCAAUUCGAAGCACGCGUAGAACCUUACCUGGGUUUGACAUGCUGAUGCUUGCGAGAAACGGCUAAGCUGCCCUUCGGGUGAAACUUGCACAAGUGCUGCAUGCUGUCGUCAGCUCGUUUCUGAGAAUGUCGUAAGUCCUUACGAGCGAAACUGCGUAGUGGCCACGAUGCCGGGACUCUAGCGGACGCGGGUACGAGAGGUGGGACAGCCUCAGUCACAUGGCUUAAUGCCAAGGCUUCCAC